Molecule: ribosomal RNA, 464 nt
Filed under: uncultured bacterium
Lineage: Bacteria
Description: bacterial SSU rRNA
Rfam family: Bacterial small subunit ribosomal RNA
Source: RNAcentral
CCAGACUCCUACGGGAGGCAGCAGUGAGGAAUAUUGGUCAAUGGCCGAGAGGCUGAACCAGCCAAGUCGCGUGAGGGAUGACGGCCCUACGGGUUGUAAACCUCUUUUGUCGGGGAGCAAAGCGCGGUACGAGUACCGUGAAGGAGAGUACCCGAAGAAAAAGCAUCGGCUAACUCCGUGCCAGCAGCCGCGGUAAUACGGAGGAUGCGAGCGUUAUCCGGAUUUAUUGGGUUUAAAGGGUGCGUAGGCGGAUUAGUAAGUCAGCGGUAAAAAUGCGGUGCUCAACGCCGUAUCGCCGUUGAAACUGCGGGUCUUGAGUGAGCGAGAAGUAUGCGGAAUGCGUGGUGUAGCGGUGAAAUGCAUAGAUAUCACGCAGAACUCCGAUUGCGAAGGCAGCAUACCGGCGCUCAACUGACGCUGAGGCACGAAAGCGUGGGGAUCGAACAGGAUUAGAUACCCUAGUA